AUUGCAACAUCAAAGCUGAAGAUGUUGCACAUUGGUCUAAGAGAGGCCUUAGCACAUCAACCAUUUUCUCGUCAGCUACUUUAUUGAUUUUCUUUCUAAUCCAAAAUUAGUGCAGAGGAGAGGAGGGACCAAUAUCUCAAGGCACCAUCCACUAAAGCCCACUGCCACCAAAAGCCGUGGACCAAUAGAGAGAAGAAACCAAAUCAUUCUCUCUUUGAUUUCUCUAUUAUUCUCUCUUAUCUCUUAUAGCAGUGGAGAGGACCAUACCCAAGGGAAGGGAAUGGAAAAGGGAAUUGUGGAGAAAGGGAGGGAUAAAGGAAGAAUGGAGGAAAAG
Molecule: long non-coding RNA, 334 nt
Filed under: Elaeis guineensis (African oil palm)
Lineage: Eukaryota; Viridiplantae; Streptophyta; Magnoliopsida; Arecales; Arecaceae
Description: long non-coding RNA (EGUI_LNC015002)
Source: RNAcentral